RNAcentral lists this transfer RNA (66 nucleotides) under Marmota monax (woodchuck). RNAcentral describes it as "tRNA.Ala". Lineage: Eukaryota; Metazoa; Chordata; Mammalia; Rodentia; Sciuridae. The record is from RNAcentral.
GUUGCUGCUCAGUGGUAUAGCACUUGCCUAGCAUGCAUGAGACCCUGAAUUCAAUUCCGAGCACCA